Molecule: long non-coding RNA, 753 nt
Filed under: Brassica rapa (field mustard)
Lineage: Eukaryota; Viridiplantae; Streptophyta; Magnoliopsida; Brassicales; Brassicaceae
Description: long non-coding RNA (BRAP_LNC006372)
Source: RNAcentral
UAUUAUUUGGUAGUGUUUUUAAGAGAUAAUUUGAUGAUGAACAUGAUACUAAAAAUUACACCAUCUGUUUAAAAUUAGUAUAGAUACAAAUUGUAUAAAUAGUAUUUUUUUUAACUUAUUUAAUAGUAACUAAAAAUAAUUAUUUGAUAACAAUUUAAUUUUUCUAAAGUUUUAAACGAAAUAUAAUUGUAAAAGGUUAUAUGAUAGUAAUUUUCCUUUCCUAAAAUCCUAAAAAAAAAAAUGUAAAAGAGUAUUUGAUAUAUAUAUUUGAUUGUAAAUGAAAAGGAGCCCUUUAAAAAAAAUCCAAACAAAAAUAAAAUUUAAACUGAUUUUAAAAAAAAAUUUGAUGACAAGUAUGAUGUUAAAACUAUUUAAUUAACAAAAAUAAUGAAUUAAAAAAAUUAUUAAGUAUCGGAUAAGUUUAAUAAAAUAUUAAAUUAUUACAUAAGAAAGUGUAUGAUGUUGACAUUGACUCGAUUGGCUUUAUUUAACUUUAUUUUUUUUCAUUCUAUUCUUAAUUUGGGUUGUGUUGGGUUUAAAUUUAUAUGUAUGAGUUUUUUUUUCUAGCAUUAAGUAGAAAGUUGAUAAAAAUUCACUAGACACCAUGAUUAUAAAAUACAAACAUUAACUGUAAUUUAUGUAUAAAAACAUGUUUUUAGUUGUAAAAUAAGUCUCACACAACAUAUGCAAAAAUAAUCCUAAAAGUAUAAUAAUAUGUUUUGUUAUUUUUAUUUUUUUUAAAUUAAAUCAUCA